This 497-nucleotide ribosomal RNA is filed under the name uncultured bacterium. RNAcentral describes it as "partial 16S ribosomal RNA". It matches the Rfam family "Bacterial small subunit ribosomal RNA", at positions 28 to 507 of the family's 1533-position model. The record is from RNAcentral.
GAUGAACGCUGGCGGCGUGCCUAAUACAUGCAAGUCGAGCGGACGGACGAUAAGCUUGCGGCUCUGAUGUUAGCGGCGGACGGGUGAGUAACACGUGGAUACCCUACCUAUAAUUCGGGGAUAACUUCGGAAAACGGGAUAUAAUACCGGAUAAUAUUUUGAACCGCGUGGUGCAAAGGUGAAAGACGGUCUUGCUGUCACUAAUAGCUGGAUCUCGGCUGCAUUAGCUGGUUGGUAAGGUCACGGCCUACCAAGGCAACUAUGCGUAGCCGACCGGAGAGGGGGAUAGGCGACAUGGGAACGGAAACACGGUCAAGACGCCUAAGGGAGGCAGCAGACGGGAACCGGACGCAAUGGGCGAAAGCCUGACGGAGUAAGGCCGCGUGAGUGAUGAAGGUCCUCGGAUCGUAAUGCCCUGUUACGAGGGAAGAACAGCUGUGGCCGGAACCGUGGACAGAGUGACGGUACCUAAUCAGAAAGCCACGGCUAACUACGUG